GGCUAGCCACCUGGUGUCUAAAAUAUGUACAUCGCUUAAAGUAAGAAUGUGGGAAUGUUGCUGGCAAUCUCCAUCUCAAAUUAUUCUACCCCACUCCUAGCAAAAGUAUGCUGAGAUGAUUGUUGUUUAGUAUUUCCCAAACUGGGUUGUAUGAAGCAUUAAGAGUCCUGGGAAAUGUUAUUAGAAAGUCCUUGAAAAAGGGGGUUCCCUGGUUAACUAACUUUGGGAAGUUCUGUGUAUGAUUGACCUAAGUUACAAUGCAUACUAGAACACUAAACUCUAUGAGAGAUCUAAUAUUAAACCCAUUUGACUUCUUUUAACCCACUAUGUUCCAAACACUGGACCAAGGAAACCUUCUUGCAUAGAUGACCUAAUAACAAAUCGUCGGACACCAGUUUUCCAUGGAACACUCUUUCUUCCCCACUCAGGUGAUGGAGUUCAUUUUCGUGAUCUGAGAAAGAUGUAAAUGAAGACAGUUUUCAAGGCAAAAGCCUCAAACUCCAAAGUAGAAAACAGAGACCAUUCCAUGUAUUUUAAGUGGAGGGAACUUAAGACGGGGAAUUGAUUACACAUGUGAUGGCAGAGGGGCACAACCAACUGGGGCUCUUUGUAAAGCAGCCCAGAGAUUAGAAAGAGUAGGAGGCCAGAACCACUCAGGCUGAGGGGACAAAAAGAAGGUGGCGAACCUGGAUGCUGUGGCCUGGUCACUUGGCAGAAACAGGAAUCAUGGUGGACCUACCUGGAGCGGCUGGAACAACAGCAGACUCAGCCACUGUUAAAGAUGCAACCUGAGAGCUGCCAGCUUCGAGUCUGCUGGUGUUCUUUUCUCCAUCCCUGGAUCUUCUGUGCAGUGAGCUCACUGGGGACAGGGAACCAUACUGGAAGGGUGAAGGGGUGGUUUCAGUUUUCCAGCCACUGAAGUCUUUGACUACAAUGGAUAAAUUCAAUUCAGAGGCACCGGCUACCACGUCACCUUCUCCUGAUGACACUGGGUCAUUUCUGGAGUUCCAGCACAGUGCUGGGCAGGAAGUGCUGUGGUUCCCACGUUUGUGCGCCUCCGCAUUGCAUGGCUUUAAGAGGAUAUCGGAUUUCUUUCUAUAGUCCUGGCACCUCCCUUGAAGCUCUCACCAUCAGCUAUUAGUUUUUUAUGUUUUGUUUUGUUUUUGCAGUACGUGGGCCUCUCACUGCUGUGGCCUCUCCCGUUGAGGAGCACAGGCUCCGGACACGCAGCCUCAGUGGCCACGGCUCACGGGCCCAGCCGCUCUGCGGCAUGUGGGAGCUUCCCGGACUGGGGCACGAACCCAUGUCCCCUGCAUUGGCAGGCGGACUCUCAACCACUGCGCCACCAGGGAAGCCCAGCUAUUAGUUUUGCUGUGUGUAUAGGUCCACAUCUACUCUCUACCUCUUAACUUCCCCCACCGGUUUCUUUUUAAAUUAUAACAUGUAACCGACUAGAGGGCUUCCCUGGUGGUGCAGUGGUUAAGAAUCCGCCUGCUAAUGCAGGGGACACGGGUUCGAGCCCUGGUCCUGGAAGGUCCCACAUGCCGCGGAGCAACUAAGGCAGUGCACCACAACUACUGAGCCUGCUCUCUAGAGCCCGCGAGCCACAACUACGGAUCCCACGUUCCACAACUACUGAAGCCCACGUGCCUAGAGCCCGUGCUCCACAACAAGAGAAGGCACCACAAUGAGAAGCCCGCGCACCGCAACGAAGAGUAGCCCCUGCUCACCGCAACUAGAGAAUGUCCACGUGCAGCAACGAAGACCCAACGCAACCAAAAGUAAAAAAUAAGUAAAAUAAAUAAAUUUAUUUUUUUAAAAAAUGUCAGAGUCAGAUCUCAUGUUUUUAGUACAGUUCAGCAGGAUGUGUAUUCGUGGGAGAACUUCCACUCAGACUUCUCCAAUAAUUAAACUCAUGUGAGCCAUCACAGGACAGAUGGUUGUGCUAUUUAAAACAAAUUAUAACCUUUAAGGAUAAACAUGUACUAUUGAAAUCUAAAUAUAAAUUUGCUUUGAAUUUUAAUUGAGUAGUACUAUUGUUUAACAGGUAAAAUUGAUGUGAAGACUUCAGAAAGUGUUUUUUUUUUUUUAAUUUUUAUUUAUUUAUUUAUUAUUUUUGGCUGUGUUGGGUCUUCGUUUCUGUGCAAGGGCUUUCUCUAGUUGCGGUGAGCGGGGGCUACUCUUCAUCGCGGUGCGCAGGCCUCUCACUGUUGUGGCCUCUCGUUGCGGAGCACAGGCUCCAGACACGCAGGCUCAGUAGUUGUGGCUCAUGGGUCUAGUUGCUCCGCAGCAUGUGGAAUCUUCCCAGACCAGGGCUCGAACCCGUGUCCCCUGCAUUGGCAGGCAGAUUCUCAACCAUUACGCCACCAGGGAAGCCCCAGAAAGUGUUUUUUUAAUAAAGUAAGAAUACCUCUUAAAUGACAAAAAUAUUAGGCAAAAAUUCUUUAUGUAAUUUGUCAAUAUUCCUGGAAGCCUUUGAAAAGCCUUUUUCUGACAUUUAAAUUAUCUGUUCUAUUGAAUAAUUUUGGAACCAGAAAGGGAUGACAGAUUUUUAUCUUGUUUUCUUUUCAUGCCUUAAAGUUGGCCUGUAUAUAAAAUUUAAAUAGCAAUUUUAACUUUGUUGUCAAUCACUGAAGUGUCAUCAAGGGCUGUGAGUAACAAUGACCCUCCUUUUGGUUAUAAGAAAUCCUCUGACCAUUUGAUUGAAAACAGUGUCUAAUCCAAUGUUUAGAUUUCAGUGGUUUUUUUUUUUCACUUUGAUUAUCCUUGUGGUAUUUAAAAUGCAAUUUUGUCUAUUUGGAAUUUUUCAUGAUAGAGGUAUGAAAGAACACGUCGUGUAAAUGUAACCUGUUAACCUUAUUUCAUGACUAGUUUGAUAUUGAAAGCCAAGACAUAUUUUUUCACACUUAUUAAAAAACUGUUGCCAGUGGGAAACGAGUAUACUUUAAGGCUUAGUAAAAAAAAUACUCAAAAUUGUAAACAGUAGGAUCAUGGUUCUGAAGAACCUAGGGGCAAGACAGGAAUAAAGACGCAGACCUCCUAGAGAAUGGACUUGAGGACAUGGGGAGGGGGAAGGGUAAGCUGGGACAAAGUGAGAGAUUGG
This is a long non-coding RNA of Lagenorhynchus albirostris (white-beaked dolphin), 3103 nucleotides long. RefSeq lists it as uncharacterized. The transcript is spliced from 3 exons. NCBI's taxonomy places the organism in Eukaryota, Metazoa, Chordata, Mammalia, Artiodactyla, Delphinidae. The record is from RefSeq and is a predicted model, not a curated record.